GCGGUGCUGCGAAGCAGAUAUCUACGGAGUUAAUGUGUCCAGCAGUCGAACUAAAAUGCCAUCUAUAAGUAGAUACUACAUCAGUACCUACCCUUAACCGUUGCUUCCGCAAAUAUUUCCCUGCUCAUUCUCUAGAGGUUGAUAUACGUUUCUAUAACUAGUUUCCCUUUGUGCAGAUGAGGUUGCCGGUAGACCGCAGAUACAUCAGGCGUCUAAACUACCCUUGUUGGAACGUUCGGCAGGAGGAUGAAUCGGCUUAGCAAUAUAAGGGAAAUAACUCCUGGCUGUAUAAAAGCUGAGAUUGCAGACAGCAAUCAUGCCUGAGGCAGGUAGGUAUAUUGCUCCAUCAUAGUCUAGAUGCUUCGUAGGAAGGUUGAAAUCUCAAUAAAAUU
Cephus cinctus (wheat stem sawfly) is the source of this 392-nucleotide long non-coding RNA. RefSeq lists it as uncharacterized. The record is from RefSeq and is a predicted model, not a curated record. The transcript is spliced from 3 exons. NCBI's taxonomy places the organism in Eukaryota, Metazoa, Arthropoda, Insecta, Hymenoptera, Cephidae.